Molecule: ribosomal RNA, 497 nt
Filed under: uncultured bacterium
Lineage: Bacteria
Description: partial 16S ribosomal RNA
Rfam family: Bacterial small subunit ribosomal RNA
Source: RNAcentral
GAUGAACGCUGGCGGCGUGCCUAAUACAUGCAAGUCGAGCGAACAGAUGAGGAGCUUGCUCCUCUGACGUUAGCGGCGGACGGGUGAGUAACACGUGGAUAACCUCCCUAUAAGACUGGGAUAACUUCGGGAAACCGGAGCUAAUACCGGAUAAUAUAUUGAACCGCAUGGUUCAAUAGUGAAAGACGGUUUUGCUGUCACUUAUAGAUGGAUCCACGCCGCAUUAGCUAGUUGGUAAGGUAACGGCUUACCAAGGCAACGAUGCGUAGCCGACCUGAGAGGGUGAUCGGCCACCCUGGAACUGGGACACGGUCCAGACUCCUACGGGAGGCAGCAGUAGGCAAUCUUCCGCAGUGGUCGAAAGCCUGACGGAGCAACGCCGCGUGAGUGAUGAAGGUCUUCGGAUCGUAAAACUCUGUUAUUAGGGAAGAACAAAUGUGUAAGUAACUAUGCACGUCUUGACGGUACCUAAUCAGAAAGCCACGGCUAACUACGUG